CCUACGGGGGACAGCAGUGAGGAAUAUUGGUCAAUGGCCGAGAGGCUGAACCAGCCAAGUCGCGUGAGGGAAGACGGCCCUACGGGUUGUAAACCUCUUUUGUCGGGGAGCAAAGCGAGUCACGUGUGACUCCUUGAGAGUACCCGACGAAAAAGCGUCAGCUAACUCCGUGCCAGCAGCCGCGGUAAUACGGAGGAUGCGAGCGUUAUCCGGAUUCAUUGGGUUUAAAGGGUGCGUAGGUGGUUUUAUAAGUUAGCUGUGAAAUACCGAUGCUCAACAUCGGGGCUGCCGCUGAUACUGGAGGACUAGAGAGCGGAUGAGGCAGGUGGAAUGCGAAGUGUAGCGGUGAAAUGCAUAGAUAUUAGACAGAACACCGAUUGCGAAGGCAGCCUGCUAGGCCGGAUCUGACACUGAUGCACGAAAGCGUGGGGAGCGAACAGGAUUAGAUACCCGGGUAGUC
Molecule: ribosomal RNA, 460 nt
Filed under: uncultured bacterium
Lineage: Bacteria
Description: partial 16S ribosomal RNA
Rfam family: Bacterial small subunit ribosomal RNA
Source: RNAcentral